Molecule: long non-coding RNA, 820 nt
Filed under: Triticum aestivum (bread wheat)
Lineage: Eukaryota; Viridiplantae; Streptophyta; Magnoliopsida; Poales; Poaceae
Description: long non-coding RNA (TAES_LNC018864)
Source: RNAcentral
GUCGACCACCUCCUGGUGCUGCCGUCGUCAACCACCUCGCCGUAGACCACGAAGCCGUAGUACUGGAGGGAAGGAGGAGAAGAGGAGGGAGCGCAGCGCGAGCAGCUGCCCGCCAUCGAGUUGAGGGUCGGCCGCCGCCGUCUGCACCUGUCCGUCGUCAACCACCUCCUCGCCGUCUUGCUGCUGUCGAUCAGAGAUGACCACGAAGCUGGAGGAGGGGGAGGAUGUGCCUGCACCUGCACGCCGUCUCCCCUGCACCUGUUCGAUCUCCUAUGUCCUCUCCUCUGUUUUAUCCUAUCUCUGACCGAGGUAUUCAGUGCCAAAUUUUUCAACAAUUAGUACUGAAUUUUUAGCAGUUCACACUGAUCUAUUGAGUGUUGAAUACACCAUUGUUAGCAGUUGGUACUGAAUUCCAAAAUUUUCUUUUAUCAUCUUUCAUCCAUUCUUCAGCUUGUCAUUGUAAACCUAUUGCAAAACUUGCUUACUUACUGUCGAUUCCAUCCUCUUUCGAAACAAAGAUUCUAAAUGUUCAAAAUUUGUCUUAUAUAUGCUGUAUUCUUGGUCCAUUUGCUUUACAGAAUAUAAAAGGACGACUAAACAGUGGCUAAACAGAGCCAAAAACCUCCCAGCGCACUCCCAGGAUACAUAUACAGUCGGUCCAGUCGGUCCUCUCGGUCUUGACCGAGCUUUGCUGCAGCCGGUCCGGUCCUGAAAAUAUGGACCGCCAGCCACUUCGGUCCGGUCCGGACCGGACCAGCCGCGGCCGGUCCAAAGCAUGGCUCGGUCAGGGACCGGACCGGACCGGACCGCGUCCACCCUG